RNAcentral lists this ribosomal RNA (503 nucleotides) under uncultured bacterium. RNAcentral describes it as "partial 16S ribosomal RNA". It matches the Rfam family "Bacterial small subunit ribosomal RNA", at positions 30 to 523 of the family's 1533-position model. The record is from RNAcentral.
AUUGAACGCUGGCGGCAGGCUUAACACAUGCAAGUCGAGCGGGGUGAUGGUGCUUGCACUAUCACUUAGCGGCGGACGGGUGAGUAAUGCUUAGGAAUCUGCCUAGUAGGGGGGGACCACAUCUCGAAAGGGAUGCUAAUACCGAAUACGCCCUACGGGAGAAAGCAGGGGAUCGCUUGUGAUCUUACGCUAAUAGAUGAGCCUGAGGCGGAUUAGCUAGGUGGUGGGGUAAAGGCCUACCAAGGCGACGAUCUGUAGCGGGUCUGAGAGGAUGAGCCGCGACACUGGGGCUGGGACACGGCCCAGCAUCCUGCGGGAGGCAGCAGUGGGGAAUAUUGGCCAAUGGGGGGAACCCUGAUCCAGCCAUGCCGCGUGUGUGAAGAAGGCCUUAUGGUUGUAAAGCACUUUAAGCGAGGAGGAGGCUCUUUUGGUUAAUACCCAAGAUGAGUGGACGUUACUCGCAGAAUAAGCACCGGCUAACUCUGUGCCAGCAGCCGCAGUAA